UCUGCUCAAAGCCAUUUCUACAGUGUUGAGCAGUGUUCUGGGACCUCUCUACCUGCUCACUUACAGGGAAGAAAAGGUGAAGGGCAAGCCGGGUUCCAUGCCUUGAACUAGCACAUCUGUGUUCAUCUGUGCACAUCCGUCGCUUCCUUCCAUCCCUCACUGUUUCCGGAACUGGACGCCGCCCUGCUGAGGCGGUGCUGAGCGCUAACAUGACCGCCUCCUUGUUGGCUCGGUACAGCAUACCACUGGACCUCUGCGGUCAGUGCUCUGCGGAGGCCAGCCAAUGCCCUAGCAGCCUGCCCCAGGGACCGCAGUGCUAGCCAGUGGCCAUGAAGAGUUUCCUGGCACCGUUGGACUUUCAGUCAGUGAGUCGAGUAGCAGUGGAAAUGAAUGGCAAUGGGGAUUGUUAAAUGGUCACUUCUUUGAGAUACAUCAGUGGUAGGAGUGUGCAAAUUAAGAUUUCUCCUGCGACACCAAGAAACUGGGAAAGUUAUUUAAUCACAUCCCUAAGUAAUUAGAAGCUCCAUGCCUUCAUUAAGAACCCAAAAUAAUGCUUGCACCAUGUGCAGGUAAAUGACAGCAGGGACAUGCAAAAGUUGUUUCCUAGUUCAGACUCAGAAAAAUGUCAUUUUUAUUGGUUGAAGAGAAAAAAUUCCCAUAAUAAUUUUGUGAUAAUGUUCUCAUUAAGAGCUGUGAGGGAACUCGAGAAGCCCAGAGCUCUCAUAAAGUGUCCUGUUAUUUCCAUAUCCUCCUCAAAACCGUUUUAUCAUAAAACUAACAAAAUGCUCAGCCCUUUUAUCUGGGGAUUCUCAGUGACAUUAAACACAUUCAGAUGAGCCUCAUGCCAAAAAUAUUGUAUGUCCAGAAAUCUACAUAGCUUGCAUUUGAUAAGUUUUAUUCAAAGAAACUACAUCUAAGUUACUUUGGAGGUUGGUUUGUAAAGCAGUGCAGAGGUAUAGGAGAAUAAGUUCAUCUUCUAACCAUUCUUUAAUGAGAGGUAAUUGUCCACUCAACCACUGGUGAUGGUCUCUUGUUCCAUCUCUGCUAGGAUGAGCCUCUGAUACAGAUGCUGCAUUCUACACAACCUUGACAAAGUCUUCCAUUUGAGUGGAAAUAGAAAGGUGACUCAUUCCCCUUCCAAAUAUGUUCUGAGCUCCUGCUAGGCACAAGCCCUUGGAUAAGUACUGAAGGGGAUACAGCAUUGAAUCACUUGCAAAACCUGACUUCAUGAGUUUAUGCUCUGGUAGAAGAGAUAAAGCAAGAUCCUCAACACUGAUAAUACAAGAUGGAGAGAGGGGGGUACUUGUAAAUGCCUAAAAGACUUCUGGAAGACUAUAGAAGACACUGUUAAAGUUGCGUGGGAAAAGUGGUUGGGGUCCAGGAGAGAGAGAUUAUAUCAUCCAACGACAGCAGAAUACUAGGCCACAAGCACACCUUAACAAAUUUGAAAGAAUAGAAGUAAACAAUGUAUACUCUUAGAUCAAAAUGAAAUUAACUAGAAAGCAGUAACAAAAGAUAACUGGAAAAUCCCAAACAAUGUGAAGAUUAAACAACACACUUUUCAAUAAUACAUGGAAUAAGGAAUCACAAGAAAUUUAAAAAUAUUUUGAAUUAAAUGAAAAUGAAAACCAAUUUAUCAAAAUUUGUGGAAUAUAAUGAAAAUAGCUACUUGAGGGAAAUUUAUACCAUUAAAUGCCUAUGUUAGAAAAGGAGAAAGAUCUAAAAUCAAUAAUCUAAGUUUCCACCUUAG
Molecule: long non-coding RNA, 1750 nt
Organism: Myotis myotis
Lineage: Eukaryota; Metazoa; Chordata; Mammalia; Chiroptera; Vespertilionidae
Exons: 3
Source: RefSeq, a predicted model, not a curated record